UACGGGAGGCAGCAGUGGGGAAUAUUGCACAAUGGGCGCAAGCCUGAUGCAGCCAUGCCGCGUGUAUGAAGAAGGCCUUCGGGUUGUAAAGUACUUUCAGUCGUGAGGAAGGUGUUAAGGUUAAUAACCUUAGCAAUUGACGUUAGCGACAGAAGAAGCACCGGCUAACUCCGUGCCAGCAGCCGCGGUAAUACGGAGGGUGCGAGCGUUAAUCGGAAUUACUGGGCGUAAAGGGCACGCAGGCGGUUAAUUAAGUUGGAUGUGAAAUCCCCGGGCUUAACCUGGGAAUGGCAUUCAAGACUGGUUAGCUAGAGUCUUGUAGAGGGGGUAGAAUUCCAUGUGUAGCGGUGAAAUGCGUAGAGAUGUGGAGGAAUACCGGUGGCGAAGGCGGCCCCGUGGACAAAGACUGACGCUCAUGUGCGAAAGCGUGGGGAGCAAACAGGAUUAGAUACC
Molecule: ribosomal RNA, 453 nt
Filed under: uncultured bacterium
Lineage: Bacteria
Description: bacterial SSU rRNA
Rfam family: Bacterial small subunit ribosomal RNA
Source: RNAcentral